This 587-nucleotide ribosomal RNA is filed under the name uncultured bacterium. RNAcentral's name for it is "bacterial SSU rRNA". It matches the Rfam family "Bacterial small subunit ribosomal RNA", at positions 338 to 916 of the family's 1533-position model. The record is from RNAcentral.
CCUACGGGAGGCAGCAGUAGGGAAUCUUCCACAAUGGACGAAAGUCUGAUGGAGCAACGCCGCGUGAGUGAAGAAGGGUUUCGGCUCGUAAAACUCUGUUGUUGAAGAAGAACACAUCUGAGAGUAACUGUUCAGGUGUUGACGGUAUUUAACCAGAAAGCCACGGCUAACUACGUGCCAGCAGCCGCGGUAAUACGUAGGUGGCAAGCGUUGUCCGGAAUUAUUGGGCGUAAAGGGAACGCAGGCAGUCUUUUAAGUCUGAUGUGAAAGCCUUCGGCUUAACCGAAGUCGUGCAUUGGAAACUGGGAGACUUGAGUGCAGAAGAGGACAGUGGAACUCCAUGUGUAGCGGUGAAAUGCGUAGAUAUAUGGAAGAACACCAGUGGCGAAGGCGGCUGUCUGGUCUGUAACUGACGCUGAGGCUCGAAAGCAUGGGUAGCGAACAGGAUUAGAUACCCUGGUAGUCCAUGCCGUAAACGAUGAGUGCUAAGUGUUGGAGGGUUUCCGCCCUUCAGUGCUGCAGCUAACGCAUUAAGCACUCCGCCUGGGGAGUACGACCGCAAGGUUGAAACUCAAAGGAAUUGACGG